UCCAUUAUCCACCUUGGAUGGCAGUUUGCAAACUGCAGCCACCCGUAAUCCCAAGAUGUUGCUGCUGGAUUUUUCCAGGUUCUCAUCACUGGUGAGCACUUAGAGAACAUCUGCAAACAGCAGGAGGGGCUGGCACAGUGUGUUCCACUGGCAGAUGACAUCUGUAACACUGGCACAUCCAACUGGCACAGGAGAGCUGCUCUGAGCUCCUGGGCAGCAUCCAGAGAGGGGAGUUUGGAGAGAUCACCUCUAAAAUUCAGCCAGGGUGCCACAAGGAGAAAGGAAAUCCUGAAGAGAGCUGGCCUGCAGCAAGGUACAGAACAGAACUAUUUAAAUCAAGAAAUAUCUCUCCUUUCUUGUCUUGGAGCUGGCUGUGUCAGUCUUCAGUUUUCAGUGGGGAAAAAUCCCAGCCCAUGGAAUUUGUGGCUUUCUAAACCAUUCCUUUGUGUGGUGACUUCACAUCAGAGCAGAUCCUGCUUCUCCAGAGGGGUGGGAGCAGGGAUUGCUGGUCCACAGGAAAUUUUGGGUUGUUGUGGCCUUGGCUGUCAGAGUGUGGGGGUUUGUUGGCCAUAAUUCCUGUUCCAAGCCAAAAAAAGCACUCACGUAAGUCAGCUCAGAUGGUUCUUCCUUUCCCUCCUUUUUCACCACUUAUUUUUGGGUGCUAAAGUUGUCACUACCGGUUGGAUGGGACAACACAGCCUUGGCAUUUUCCUCCUGCUGUGGUAGAAGAAGCAAUUUCCAUCAUUUUUUUUUGCUGGGAUUUGCCUGGAAAAUUAAAUAUCUGUGACAGCUGGUGAAGGAAAGGUUUGGGAAGGGCUUGGGUUGCCUGAUGUGUGUCCACCUUUGCCCCUGUGGGCUGUAGAGCAAAUAACCAGACCUUCCCUUUCCCUGGAGCCCUGGGACUCAUGGAUGUCUCUUCAAUUCUUGCUGGUAUUUAUAUUUGGCAAACAAUCUCAGCAGCUGGCUCAGUUUUCUGUGCUCAGGGAUGACCUCGAGCAGCUCUGAGGCUCAAAAAUGGAGUUUUUGUUGCUACAGAUGCAACAGUGCUCACCAAACCUCUGCAGGGCACCCAGGGAGCACUGAGACACUGAGACACCGUAAAAUAUUAUAAAA
Parus major (Great Tit) is the source of this 1113-nucleotide long non-coding RNA. RefSeq lists it as uncharacterized. NCBI's taxonomy places the organism in Eukaryota, Metazoa, Chordata, Aves, Passeriformes, Paridae. The transcript is spliced from 3 exons. The record is from RefSeq and is a predicted model, not a curated record.